Talpa occidentalis (Iberian mole) is the source of this 796-nucleotide long non-coding RNA. RefSeq lists it as uncharacterized. The record is from RefSeq and is a predicted model, not a curated record. The transcript is spliced from 4 exons. Lineage: Eukaryota; Metazoa; Chordata; Mammalia; Eulipotyphla; Talpidae.
UUUGAGCAUGUGCCCGUCAACUUUUCCUUUCCCACUUACUUUACGUGUUGAUGAUGAUGAACUUUUAAGUCUUUAGGUUUCAGAAUAUUCUAGUGGAAUCCUGCCUGGAAUUAACACUGAGUGGAGAUGAUGACUAUGGAAAUUUGCUGAACCUCCUUUUCUGGGAGAGAAUGAUCCAACUAUACACAGAAGAUGCUUCCCUCUUGCUAGAGGCUGCUGUGAGGACAAAAUGCCCUGAGCAGGACUGAGCCUCCCACUGACACCAGCAUCAACUUGCCAGUCGCGUGAGUGAACCCCGGGCAAGGCUCUUUAGUCCUCUGGCCCUCAUCAUGCCUCAGACUCUGCAGCCCCAAUAACUGACCAAAACAACAGGAGAGACCCCAGGUGAAAACCACCCACCCACCUCAGGAGACACCAGACCGAACUACCCACCAAGGUGCUCCCAAUAUUCUUGACAGAGAAAGUUUCAUUAUCUCUGGGUUACCCCAGUAUUCACAUCCUACCAAUCAAAUGUCUUCCAGCAGCAGUUUUCAGGAAGAAAACAUUAAAAGAAAGCAAAACACUCCUUAGUGCCUCCCUGUUCUCCUUCCACAACCCAGGAAAUUUGGAAAAGUCUGGACUUGUCCCAGCUGAGCUACCUGUACUACACAACACUGGGCUGAGGUCAGACUCUCCUGUCCUGGGUGUCCACUGCCUACACUCCUCCCAUCUUCCACCAGGCCUCUAGGCACAAGUUCCUCUCUUGUCCUAUUUCUAUGGGGCCCCGGGACACACAUGGCAACAUGGGGUCUGGGUG